This 428-nucleotide ribosomal RNA is filed under the name uncultured organism. RNAcentral's name for it is "bacterial SSU rRNA". It matches the Rfam family "Bacterial small subunit ribosomal RNA", at positions 355 to 775 of the family's 1533-position model. The record is from RNAcentral.
UGGGGAAUAUUGGACAAUGGGCGCAAGCCUGAUCCAGCCAUGCCGCGUGUGUGAAGAAGGCCUUCGGGUUGUAAAGCACUUUCAGCGAGGAGGAAGGGUGUUGUGUUAAUAGCACAGCAUUUUGACGUUACUCGCAGAAGAAGCACCGGCUAACUCCGUGCCAGCAGCCGCGGUAAUACGGAGGGUGCAAGCGUUAAUCGGAAUUACUGGGCGUAAAGCGCACGUAGGCGGUGUGUUAAGUUGGAUGUGAAAGCCCCGGGCUCAACCUGGGAAUUGCAUUCAAAACUGGCACGCUAGAGUAUGUGAGAGGGGGGUAGAAUUCCAAGUGUAGCGGUGAAAUGCGUAGAGAUUUGGAGGAAUACCAGUGGCGAAGGCGGCCCCCUGGCACAAUACUGACGCUCAGGUGCGAAAGCGUGGGGAGCAAACAG